Molecule: non-coding RNA, 133 nt
Organism: Triticum aestivum (bread wheat)
Lineage: Eukaryota; Viridiplantae; Streptophyta; Magnoliopsida; Poales; Poaceae
Source: Rfam
AAGAUACUCCCUCCGUCCAAAAAAACUUAUCAUCAAAAUGACAAAAAGGAUGUAUCUAAAAUUAAAAUACAUCUAGAUACGUUCUCUUUUAUUCAUUUUUAUGACAAGUAUUUUCCGGCGGAGGGAGUACACU